This 382-nucleotide ribosomal RNA is filed under the name uncultured bacterium. Its description in RNAcentral is "bacterial SSU rRNA". It matches the Rfam family "Bacterial small subunit ribosomal RNA", at positions 30 to 412 of the family's 1533-position model. The record is from RNAcentral.
AUUGAACGCUGGCGGCGUGCUUAACACAUGCAAGUCGUGCGGUAACAGGCGUAGCAAUACGUGCUGACGAGCGGCGAACGGGUGCGUAAUACAUGGGAAUCUGCCUUUUAGUGGGGAAUAACCCGGCGAAAGCCGGGCUAAUGCCGCAUAAGAUCUUCGGAUGAAAGCGGGGGAUCGUAAGACCUCGCGCUGAUAGAUGAGCCCAUGCCGGAUUAGCAGUUGGUGAGGUAACGGCUCACCAAGGCGACGAUCCGUAGCUGGUCUGAGAGGACGGCCAGCCACACUGGGACUGAGACACGGCCCAGACUCCUACGGGAGGCAGCAGUGGGGAAUAUUGGACAAUGGGGAAACCCUGAUCCAGCGACGCCGCGUGUGUGAAAGG